GACGAACGCUGGCGGCGUGCUUAACACAUGCAAGUCGAACGGAAAGGCCCUGCUUUUGUGGGGUGCUCGAGUGGCGAACGGGUGAGUAACACGUGAGUAACCUGCCCUUGACUUUGGGAUAGCUUCAGGAAACUGGGGCUAAUACCGGAUAGGAGCUCCUGCUGCAUGGUGGGGGUUGGAAAGUUUCGGCGGUUGGGGAUGGACUCGCGGCUUAUCAGCUUGUUGGUGGGGUAGUGGCUUACCAAGGCUUGGACGGGUAGCCGGCCUGAGAGGGUGACCGGCCACAUUGGGACUGAGAUACGGCCCAGACUCCUACGGGAGGCAGCAGUGGGGAAUAUUGCACAAUGGGCGGAAGCCUGAUGCAGCAACGCCGCGUGCGGGAUGACGGCCUUCGGGUUGUAAACCGCUUUCGCCUGUGACGAAGCGUGAGUGACGGUAAUGGGUAAAGAAGCACCGGCUAACUACGUG
Molecule: ribosomal RNA, 468 nt
Filed under: uncultured bacterium
Lineage: Bacteria
Description: partial 16S ribosomal RNA
Rfam family: Bacterial small subunit ribosomal RNA
Source: RNAcentral